Molecule: ribosomal RNA, 189 nt
Filed under: uncultured Bacteroidota bacterium
Lineage: Bacteria; Pseudomonadati; Bacteroidota
Description: uncultured Bacteroidetes bacterium partial 16S ribosomal RNA
Rfam family: Bacterial small subunit ribosomal RNA
Source: RNAcentral
CCUACGGGAGGCAGCAGUAGGGAAUAUUGGGCAAUGGAGGCAACUCUGACCCAGCCAUGCCGCGUGAAGGAUGAAGGUCCUACGGAUUGUAAACUUCUUUUAUAAGGGAAGAAACCCCUGGAUUCACUCCGGGGCUGACGGUACCUUAAGAAUAAGCACCGGCUAACUCCGUGCCAGCAGCCGCGGUAA